This 312-nucleotide unclassified non-coding RNA is filed under the name Streptomyces scabiei. The record is from RNAcentral. Lineage: Bacteria; Bacillati; Actinomycetota; Actinomycetes; Kitasatosporales; Streptomycetaceae.
AAGGAGCAUCUAGGCUGCCGGGCUUGCCCGGUGGUCCAGGGCCAUAACGCAGGCGAAUGUUCUGCGGUGGUUGCUCAUGGGUGGAACGUUGAUUAUUCGGCUGGUUUCCUGGGUCGGAGGCUGUGAGUACUGCUCGUAAGAGUGUGGAAAGCAUGAUCUCUGGACGGGGACGGGUCGGGCACGCUGUUGGGUGUCUGAGGGUAUGGCCGUAUGGCUGCCUUCAGUGCCGGCCCCGGUAAAAAUCUGCGUGAGCGGGUUGUGACGGGUGGUUGGUCGUUGUUUGAGAACUGCACAGUGGACGCGAGCAUCUGU